Molecule: ribosomal RNA, 254 nt
Filed under: uncultured bacterium
Lineage: Bacteria
Description: partial 16S ribosomal RNA
Rfam family: Bacterial small subunit ribosomal RNA
Source: RNAcentral
UACGUAGGGGGCAAGCGUUGUCCGGAUUCAUUGGGCGUAAAGAGCUCGUAGGCGGUUCAGUAAGUCGGGUGUGAAAUCUCCGUGCUCAACACGGAGCGGCCACCUGAUACUGCUGUGACUCGAGUCCGGUAGGGGAGUGUGGAAUUCCCGGUGUAGCGGUGAAAUGCGCAGAUAUCGGGAGGAACACCGAUGGCGAAGGCAGGUCUCUGGGCAUUAACUGACGCUGAGGAGCGAAAGCAUGGGGAGCGAACAGG